Molecule: ribosomal RNA, 527 nt
Filed under: uncultured bacterium
Lineage: Bacteria
Description: bacterial SSU rRNA
Rfam family: Bacterial small subunit ribosomal RNA
Source: RNAcentral
AAUAGAUACCCUGGUAGUCCACGCCGUAAACGAUGUCGACUUGGAGGUUGUGCCCUUGAGGCGUGGCUUCCGGAGCUAACGCGUUAAGUCGACCGCCUGGGGAGUACGGCCGCAAGGUUAAAACUCAAAUGAAUUGACGGGGGCCCGCACAAGCGGUGGAGCAUGUGGUUUAAUUCGAUGCAACGCGAAGAACCUUACCUACUCUUGACAUCCACGGAACUUAGCAGAGAUGCUUUGGUGCCUUCGGGAACCGUGAGACAGGUGCUGCAUGGCUGUCGUCAGCUCGUGUUGUGAAAUGUUGGGUUAAGUCCCGCAACGAGCGCAACCCUUAUCCUUUGUUGCCAGCGGUUAGGCCGGGAACUCAAAGGAGACUGCCAGUGAUAAACUGGAGGAAGGUGGGGAUGACGUCAAGUCAUCAUGGCCCUUACGAGUAGGGCUACACACGUGCUACAAUGGCAUAUACAAAGAGAAGCGACCUCGCGAGAGCAAGCGGACCUCAUAAAGUAUGUCGUAGUCCGGAUUGGAGU